Nomascus leucogenys (northern white-cheeked gibbon) is the source of this 161-nucleotide small nuclear RNA. Its record names the gene U4. It matches the Rfam family "U4 spliceosomal RNA". From Rfam's summary of the family: U4 small nuclear RNA (U4 snRNA) is a component of the major U2-dependent spliceosome. The structure of U4 snRNA from yeast and human has been reported. U4 snRNA presents a k-turn RNA motif in the 5p-SL related to recognition of Snu13 protein. NCBI's taxonomy places the organism in Eukaryota, Metazoa, Chordata, Mammalia, Primates, Hylobatidae. The record is from Ensembl.
AGCUUUGUGCAGUGGCAGUAAGGUAGCCAAUGAGGUUUAUUUGAGGCAUGAUUACUGCUGAUUGAAACAGAUUCAUAGUGCACAGAGAGUGGGAUUUGUAGUUAGCUACAUCUGGAUUUUUAAAUCCCCACCCUACUGUUUAUCAGUUGGAUAAACUUGGG